GACUUGGUAGCUCAGUUGGUAGAGCAUUUGACUUUUAAUCAAAGGGUCCCGGGUUCGAGCCCCGGCCAGGUCA
Molecule: transfer RNA, 73 nt
Filed under: Phaeodactylibacter sp.
Lineage: Bacteria; Pseudomonadati; Bacteroidota; Saprospiria; Saprospirales; Haliscomenobacteraceae
Description: tRNA-Lys
Rfam family: tRNA
About the family: Transfer RNA (tRNA) molecules are approximately 80 nucleotides in length.
Source: RNAcentral